This 860-nucleotide ribosomal RNA is filed under the name uncultured Verrucomicrobiota bacterium. RNAcentral describes it as "bacterial SSU rRNA". It matches the Rfam family "Bacterial small subunit ribosomal RNA", at positions 128 to 988 of the family's 1533-position model. The record is from RNAcentral. Lineage: Bacteria; Pseudomonadati; Verrucomicrobiota.
GCCCUUCAGUGGGGAAUAGCCCAGGGAAACUUGGAUUAAUACCCCAUAGUCUCGCAAGAGUAAAGGUGGCGUAAGCUGCCGCUGAAGGAUUGGUUCGCGCCCUAUCAGCUUGUUGGUGAGGUAACGACUCACCAAGGCUACGACGGGUACCUGGUCUGAGAGGACGAUCAGGCACACUGGAACUGAGACACGGUCCAGACACCUACGGGUGGCAGCAGUCGAGAAUAAUUCACAAUGGGGGCAACUCUGAUGGUGCAACGCCGCGUGAAGGAUGACGGUCUUCGGAUUGUAAACUCCUGUCAUCUGGGAGAAAGACCUGGGGGUUAAUAGCCCACAGGGUUGAUAGUACCAGAAGAGGAAGGGACGGCUAACUUCGUGCCAGCAGCCGCGGUAAUACGAAGGUCCCAAGCGUUGUUCGGAAUCACUGGGCGUAAAGGGAGCGUAGGCGGCGCGGUAAGUCAGAUGUGAAAUCCCGGGGCUCAACCCCGGAACUGCAUCCGAUACUGCCGUGCUAGAGUAAUGGAGAGGUAGCUGGAAUUAUCGGUGUAGCAGUGAAAUGCGUAGAUAUCGAUAGGAACACUCGUGGCGAAAGCGAGCUACUGGACAUUUACUGACGCUGAGGCUCGAAGGCUAGGGGAGCGAAAGGGAUUAGAUACCCCUGUAGUCCUAGCAGUAAACGGUGCACGCUUGGUGUGAGGGGAUUCGACCCCCCUUGCGCCGGAGCUAACGCGUUAAGCGUGCCGCCUGGGAAGUACGGUCGCAAGACUAAAACUCAAAGAAAUUGACGGGGACCCGCACAAGCGGUGGAGUAUGUGGCUUAAUUCGAUGCAACGCGAAAAACCUUACCUAGGCUUGACAUG